Long non-coding RNA from Bombyx mandarina (wild silkworm), 2301 nucleotides. The record is from RefSeq and is a predicted model, not a curated record. Lineage: Eukaryota; Metazoa; Arthropoda; Insecta; Lepidoptera; Bombycidae.
UCAAGUGAGUAAGAUGAGCACUCUGAUAAAUUAAUUUCAGAUGUAAUAAUAUUAUUAUUGUUUUAGUGGUGUGGUGUGUCUUUCUUUUGGUUUGCGUGGACGCAAUGCACAGCAUGUGUUAGGGUCGCGAGGCGGGGGCGGGGCCCAGACAGCAGCCGCCGCGCUCCCUCCGCGCUCUCUCCGCGAUCGAUACGCGACGUCUACAGCCUGCCUUUGUUUACACUUGUCCCUCCGCACGCGCUGCGAUGCUCCAUCCCAUCCAAUCUGUAGUACACAUGUUCGCAAUGAGAAGCCUGUAGCGCGUCAACGCACCCCGCGUGAACUGCCCAUCGAGCGGUGUCUGGAAACCGUGCAGUCCUCCCUUCAAUAGAGGAACACCAGACUCAAUAAAGGAGCCGAUGACUAUUGCAAUGACUACAUCAAAACCUUGACAAGUAUACUGCAGACACACCAAGACAGAGAACAAAACCGAGCGGCAAAGACGAAGCAAGUGGUCAGCAAAUGAGCGGCUAAGACGCGGUCAUGUUAUCUAGUGUACGAUUCGGCGUCCGAAGUCUGUGCGUUCAGCAUCCAAGAACUACCAUGGCGCCCUCGCGGCGACCACCUCCUCGUCAACGAGCCUAUUGGAGCUGCACUACAGGAGUACAAAAAUUGUGCUUGAGAACCUCUAAGUUUCAUUCAGACAAACGGUCGAGGCGUACCUAUUUUUUUUGUUUUGUUUACACAGCUCCUAUGCCGGUUAGUGUAUGUGUCUUUCGCACUGGACAUCUUUAAACUACCAAGCGCCUUGUUAUUCAACAAAUCCAGAUAGACCUGAUUGGACGCCCACUUCUAUUCACAAAGUGUAUUGGUUUGCGCGUUGGCCACAUCCAACACCGAUUGAAGACAACGACUGCAUUCGUGGCUGAAUACUAUACUGUGCUAUCAGUAUAUCAGACUAGAUGGCUCAUUUGGGUCCCCGACAAAUAUUACCAUUGAUCGAGGUCGACAGUUUGUUUCAAUGUCUGUCGAAGUUAGUCGGAUUCGAAUACUCAUAUGUAUAGACAUUCGCGCGAGAGCCGGCCGCCAUCUGUGGAACGGUCUACUUGAGAGAGUGUCCAUCGUUCAGUUCUUGCGGCACCAACUCACAAGUUGUUUUACCUUGCCAAUUUGACGCAAAUGGACCUUCAUUAUUUUCAUUAACCUCGGAAGCUGCUGCUGACUCAGCAGCAGUUUGAAUACCGUCAGUUUCCUAUACCGCGUUUAAUUCGUCGUUGUUGACUAUAGUUUUCGGGACGAGUCGAAUUUGAUGAAGAUUUCGACUUGCAACCUAACCCAUAGACCUAACCCACUGAGUUCCUCGCCGGAUCCUCUCAAUGGGUCGUGGUGCCGAUCCGGUGACAGAUUCGGCACUGCUUUUGAUAGGGCUAGUGCUAACAAGUUUUCUUAGGUUGAACCCGUGAGCUCUUCUAACCGUUCGAGCGUAGCUAGGAUAGCCUCUUGGGCUAUCAGCGCUUAGGUUGGGGGGAAAAAGACGCUAGUCAACAACCUGUUCUGUGCUGUGCUCCUCCGAUGCUCCUUUAAGCUCUUAUGUACUGUGUGCACAACGAGCGAUGGAUAAAUCAAAAUAAUACGAGUAGGGUAAGAGAUUCUUCACUACUGUGUUUGGGUUGAUCAGAGCCCACGUCCCUUCACUAUCAACUACAACAGCGCACAUCCAACGAACCUGGUUGAUACGUGUAAGCAGCACGAACUCAUAACUAAGACAGUUCAAAACUCUGAUGGGAACUCUAGGGCGUGAUCAUAAAUAUAGUGUUAUAUUUUACUGAGCUUUUCCUUAUGUUCACCCGUAGCCAAACUUCUUCACCAGGCAACGUCCGUAAUAUUUUUUCAAUAUCAUCCCGUCACUGAGCUUCCAGCAGCAUACGAUAGAUCGAGCUGAACCUUUGGAAGUGGUUGGUGGUUGAUUGUAGGGUCACCAGUGCCGGGCGGCACAAUAAGGAGUCAGUUAUAGGGUAGACAGUUUAUUCCCAAUCACAUACAGUAUAUUUAGCAGAAGGAGAAAGUACGGAGAACAGAAGGCACUGAUAAAGCGGUAGGAAGUCGAAGGCACAAGCAAUAGAUCGUAACAAAGCAAAAGAGUUCGCGUAAGUCGAGGAGUGACAAAGGCUUCGCGUGGCAUAGAUCAAACCCGACCUCUUCCAAACUGGUGAUCCUGGUGACUGGUGGUGUAAAUUUGCAAAAAUGUCUCUUAAACCAAAUAGCUUUCCAUCCCUCGAUAUAUUUAUUGGUUAACAGGUUCAGGUGUCAGAUGUAUGUAAG